This is a long non-coding RNA of Prinia subflava (tawny-flanked prinia), 2137 nucleotides long. RefSeq lists it as uncharacterized. The record is from RefSeq and is a predicted model, not a curated record. Lineage: Eukaryota; Metazoa; Chordata; Aves; Passeriformes; Cisticolidae. The transcript is spliced from 3 exons.
GAAGCAUCAAUGCAGAGACAAGAAGGCUGCAAUUGGCUCAGCACUUCCAGAAAUGUGGCCUGUCCCUGCUCGUCAGGAGGCUGGAACAGGAGCUCCUGCCAAGCUCUGUACAAUCAGUAAGUUUCCACUCUCUAGCUGCAUGAGCACACAUUUUUGUCUCCAGGAGGAAUGUGAGAUCAUCAUGUGAACAGGAGUGGUGCAGAGUCCAAAGGGCUCCGAGGAGGACAGCCACAGAUACUGAUGAAAACAGUGUAUCUAGAGAACUUGAAAACAUCCCUGACAGCAAAAGGACUUUGUUUAUUAAGAUAAAUACAAGAAAGAGACCUGCUGUCAAUUACAACAGCUCCAGUUCCAGGUCAUGGAAGCACUUAGCACCGAAUCACUUUUCUGAAUCCAGCUGGUUUUAUCUGAAAGUAAAUGCCAAGAAAAGAGGAUAAGCAAUAUAUCAGGAAAUUAUUAUGGCAGCCACCGCAGUCUUUCUUGAAAGAGCUGUAGUUUUUUAAUAUCCUGCACUGUGGUACCUGUAGGAGUAAGAAGCUUUCAGCAAUACCAGACAUAAAGUCUUGCCCAGCAGAAUUAGUCUUGUAGUAGAUGGCUCAGCUGAACUGCCCUAUGGCAUGUGUGGAAAUAUAUGUGGUCCCAUCCAUCUCAUAGCUGGCUCUGCCUUCCUGCAAAAUUAUUGUGCAGUAUCCAAUGCAAGAAAUCACCAUCAACCAGCAGAGAGUGUUGCAUUCUGGCUUUUCUAACAAGGUUCCUGUAAAUCUUCUGAACUAUGGCAAGCUGAACACGUGUUGUUGAGCAGAACACAACCCCAUAAAGAGGCACUUCUCUCCUCUGCAAGCCCAAGACUACCAGCUCUUGGAGUCACAACAACCUACUUCCUAGUUCUGAAGACAAACUCCCUACCAAAGCACUUCUCAACAGAUGCUCUGAUUCAGCACUUCCUUUUCCUGUUCCUAUAUCAGCAAUAGCACCUCUAACUACUGGAGACAUCAUUGCUUGGGAGCCAAAAUAUCCACACAACAAAAACAGAGACAAAACCAUGGUAUUAUUCAAGUCUAUUAGAUUACAAGACAGCGGAGAAAAUGAGAAUAUUUGCAUGAAACAGUCCAAAUAAUAAAGGUCAAUGGAUGAAUACUGUACUCACCCACCAUAGAAAAGAUCAUUGACAAAGACAUGUAGGAAAUAGCACACUUAGGUUCCAUUAGAGUCUGGAAGUGACACAUUGAAGUUUGUUCAGUUUUAUCCAAAUUCAAUUAUUUCCUUCACACAUAUGUGCAUCUUAACAAGCUUUAAUUUUGAGUGUGGAAGUUAUGCUAAAAUAACUGAAAAAACCCACUGGAAAACUAUUGAGGUUGAAAAAAACCAAACCACUGUUUUCUGUAAAGCAAGUUUGGAUAUAUUCACUCAAAAUCUACACUCCGUGUCCUAUGAAAGAAGCUUGAACACAGAAGUUUUCACCAGCCAUGUCUGAAUUAUAUUACUUACAAACACAACCAAUUAUUUGGCUGUUCCUCUAAAGCUAAAUUCACACUCCCAUUUAAUAAAAGGAAACACUAUUGCACUGGAAGAACCCUGCUGUUUAUCCUGCUUUUAAUUGAUGUCUCCAUUAUCUGACCUCUCAAAAAGGCUACAAAAGCAAACACCACUGUACAUGUUUGACUCACCUUCUCGUUCGCUGCCCAGGCUGAUUUACUGAUUGCAGUUGAAGAUUAGCCAACACUGAAGUGUAACUGAUGACAUUCUGUGUGAAUUAGGUUCCAUGCAGAGUCUGAGGAGCUGGAAAUGUCACACUGUUUGAGGAUGGCUCAGUUUUAUUCCAACUGAAGUAUUUCAUCCACACAUACACCCCAAUGCAUCACCUCCAGUGAGAGAAGUCACUUGGCCCAAGAUCAUUAAAGCCAACUGAGCUGAGCAUCUGUAGAGACUGCGAUCCCAAAUUUCAGCUACUGGAGUUCUUGGAAACUGUCAUCAAAAUAGGGGAUAUGCUUGUCUGACCUGGUGGAACAUAAGCCUGCCUUUUGAUCACCCAGUAGUUUUGGUUUUGGAGGUUUUACAGACUGCUACCCAACUGCAUAUCAUUAACAUCAUGGUAUAUGCUCCUUUCCAGCAUUGCACACUAGUACUGUUUAAAAAU